ACGUUGAAACACCAAUUCCCGUAUGAUCACUGAAGUUAAGUAAUGACGAGCCUGGUCAGUACCAAGAUGGUGACCGCUUGGGGACACCAGGUGCUGUAA
Molecule: non-coding RNA, 99 nt
Organism: Acanthosepion pharaonis
Lineage: Eukaryota; Metazoa; Mollusca; Cephalopoda; Sepiida; Sepiidae
Source: the annotation of a GenBank genome assembly